GGCGGCAUGCCUUACACAUGCAAGUCGAACGGCAGCAUAGGAGCUUGCUCCUGAUGGCGAGUGGCGAACGGGUGAGUAAUAUAUCGGAACGUGCCCUAGAGUGGGGGAUAACUAGUCGAAAGACUAGCUAAUACCGCAUACGAUCUACGGAUGAAAGUGGGGGAUCGCAAGACCUCAUGCUCCUGGAGCGGCCGAUAUCUGAUUAGCUAGUUGGUGGGGUAAAAGCCUACCAAGGCGACGAUCAGUAGCUGGUCUGAGAGGACGACCUGCCACACUGGGACUGAGACACGGCCCAGACUCCUACGGGAGGCAGCAGUGGGGAAUUUUGGACAAUGGGGGCAACCCUGAUCCAGCAAUGCCGCGUGAGUGAAGAAGGCCUUCGGGUUGUAAAGCUCUUUUGUCAGGGAAGAAACGGUAGUAGCUUAAUUAUUCUUAUUUAAACUAAUGACCGGUACCUGAAGAAUAAGCACCGGCUAACUACGUGCCAGCAGCCUGCGGUAAUACGUAGGGUGCAAGCGUUAAUCGGAAUUACUGGGCGUAAAGCGUGCGCAGGCGGUUGUGUAAGUCAGAUGUGAAAUCCCCGGGGCUCAACCUGGGAAUUGCAUUUGAGACUGCACGGCUAGAGUGUGUCAGAGGGGGGUAGAAUUCCACGUGUAGCAGUGAAAUGCGUAGAUAUGUGGAGGAAUACCGAUGGCGAAGGCAGCCCCCUGGGAUAACACUGACGCUCAUGCACGAAAGCGUGGGGAGCAAACAGGAUUAGAUACCCUGCUAGUCCACGCCCUAAACGAUGUCUACUAGUUGUCGGGUCUUAAUUGACUUGGUAACGCAGCUAACGCGUGAAGUAGACCGCCUGGGGGAGUACGGUCGCAAGAUUAAAACUCAAAGGGAAUUGACGGGGACCCGCACAAGCGGUGGAUGGAAUGUGGCAUUAAUUCGAUGCAACGCGAAAAACCUUUACCUACCCUUGACAUGGAUGGAAUCCCGAAAGAGAUUUGGGGAGGUGCCUCGAAAGAGAAACCAUUCACCACAGGGUGCCUGCCAUGGCCUGUUCGUUCAGGCUCGUGUCGUGAGAUGUUGGGUUAAGUCCCGCAACGAGCGCAACCCUUGUCAUUAGUUGCUACGAAAGGGCACUCUAAUGAACUGCCGGUGACAAACCGGAGGAAGGUGGGGAUGACGUCAAGUCCUCAUGGCCCUUAUGGGUAGGGCUUCACACGUCAUACAAUGGUACAUACAGAGGGCCGCCAACCCGCGAGGGGGAGCUAAUCCCAGAAAGUGUAUCGUAGUCCGGAUUGGAGUCUGCAACUCGACUCCAUGAAGUUGGAAUCGCUAGUAAUCGCGGAUCAGCAUGUCGCGGUGAAUACGUUCCCGGGUCUUGUACACACCGCCCGUCACACCAUGGGAGCGGGUUUUACCAGAAGUGGGUAGCCUA
This 1429-nucleotide ribosomal RNA is filed under the name uncultured bacterium. RNAcentral describes it as "bacterial SSU rRNA". It matches the Rfam family "Bacterial small subunit ribosomal RNA". The record is from RNAcentral.